This is a regulatory RNA element of Streptococcus gordonii str. Challis substr. CH1, 151 nucleotides long. It matches the Rfam family "FMN riboswitch aptamer (RFN element)". From Rfam's summary of the family: The RFN element is a highly conserved domain that is found frequently in the 5'-untranslated regions of prokaryotic mRNAs that encode for flavin mononucleotide (FMN) biosynthesis and transport proteins. This element is a metabolite-dependent riboswitch that directly binds FMN in the absence of proteins. In Bacillus subtilis, the riboswitch most likely controls gene expression by causing premature transcription termination within the 5' untranslated region of the ribDEAHT operon and precluding access to the ribosome-binding site of ypaA mRNA. Lineage: Bacteria; Bacillati; Bacillota; Bacilli; Lactobacillales; Streptococcaceae. The record is from Rfam.
AAGAGUCUUCAGGGCAGGGUGAGAUUCCCGACCGGCGGUAAUUUUUGGAUUGGAAAUGUUUUUUUCUCAAUGCCAAAUCAAGUCCGCGAGCGCAAGCUGAUGUGGUGAGAUUCCACAACCGACAGUAUAGUCUGGAUGGGAGAAGACGAAG